RNAcentral lists this ribosomal RNA (484 nucleotides) under uncultured bacterium. RNAcentral's name for it is "partial 16S ribosomal RNA". It matches the Rfam family "Bacterial small subunit ribosomal RNA", at positions 30 to 507 of the family's 1533-position model. The record is from RNAcentral.
AUUGAACGCUGGCGGCAGGCCUAACACAUGCAAGUCGAGCGGAUGAAGGGAGCUUGCUCCUGGAUUCAGCGGCGGACGGGCGAGUAAUGCCUAGGAAUCUGCCUGAUAGUGGGGGAUAACGUCCGGAAACGGGCGCUAAUACCGCAUACGUCCUGAGGGAGAAAGUGGGGGAUCUUCGGACCUCACGCUAUCAGAUGAGCCUAGGUCGGAUUAGCCAGUUGGUGGGGUAAAGGCCUGCCAAGGCGACGAUCCGUAACUGGUCUGAGAGGAUGAUCAGUCACACUGGAACUGAGACACGGUCCAGACUCCUACGGGAGGCAGCAGUGGGGAAUAUUGGACAAUGGGCGAAAGCCUGAUCCAGCCAUGCCGCGUGUGUGAAGAAGGUCUUCGGAUUGUAAAGCACUUUAAGUUGGGAGGAAGGGCAGUAAGUUAAUACCUUGCUGUUUUGACGUUACCAACAGAAUAAGCACCGGCUAACUUCGUG